Molecule: ribosomal RNA, 251 nt
Filed under: uncultured bacterium
Lineage: Bacteria
Also listed under: 1 other name
Description: partial 16S ribosomal RNA
Rfam family: Bacterial small subunit ribosomal RNA
Source: RNAcentral
ACGUAGGUGGCGAGCGUUGUCCGGAUUUACUGGGCGUAAAGGGAGCGUAGGCGGAUUUUUAAGUGAGAUGUGAAAUACCCGGGCUCAACUUGGGUGCUGCAUUUCAAACUGGAAGUCUAGAGUGCAGGAGAGGAGAGUGGAAUUCCUAGUGUAGCGGUGAAAUGCGUAGAGAUUAGGAAGAACACCAGUGGCGAAGGCGACUCUCUGGACUGUAACUGACGCUGAGGCUCGAAAGCGUGGGGAGCAAACAG